Molecule: small nuclear RNA, 105 nt
Organism: Brienomyrus brachyistius
Lineage: Eukaryota; Metazoa; Chordata; Actinopteri; Osteoglossiformes; Mormyridae
Source: RefSeq, a predicted model, not a curated record
GAAAAUGCUCAUGGCUCAUAUAUUAAAACUAGAAUAAUACAGGGAAUAUUAGUGUGACCCCCAUGAAAGGAUGACGUGCAAAUUCAUGAAGUUCCUUAUUAUUUU